Molecule: non-coding RNA, 2420 nt
Organism: Plutella xylostella (diamondback moth)
Lineage: Eukaryota; Metazoa; Arthropoda; Insecta; Lepidoptera; Plutellidae
Source: RefSeq, a predicted model, not a curated record
AGCGUUUAAAUUUACCAAUGCUAUUCUUUACUAAUAUCAAGCUACUUAUUUCAUCAUAGGUCCGGCCGGAUUACUAGAUGUAGCUAGGAGUUGUUCUUUAGUUCAUUUAGUUUCUAUAUUGUCUGUGAUUCGCAUUGACUGGCCGGUCACGGGAUUCAUGCGGAUUCAUUCAAUUCAAGAUGGCAGAAAAAACAAGAAUAACUUUUAAAAGACUUCUGUUUGUUAUUAGAUUCCUUUUUGAAUAGUUUGUGUUCCUUAUAAAAGUAUUUUACUUCAAACUUCCUGAGUGUCUUAUUUUCAGCAUCUUCUAUAGUACCAAGCUAACAUUUCAGAAUUGAGAUGAGUAAGUCUACGCCCACCGUCAUAUAAUAUUACGCAAAAACACAUAAUCAAAACCAAAAAAGUCGACUAUUUACUUUGGACGAUCUUGAACGCAGCCACUAAUGUCAAACGUCAAAUGUCACAUGUGACAAGUUAUUUUGAGAAGUUUUUGAGGUUUGUUUUGUUUGUGACUUUGGUUUUGUUUGUUUGGAAUACUUUUAUCCAUUCGUUAUAACGUGAUUGAUGAACAUUGAUAACGCCGAUCAAGCAUCCUGUACUGAUAAUAAUAACGCAAGUACCCCAUCUAAAAAUCGAAAAGUUUUGACGAAGAAAAAAAAAGGACACAGAAGUACACACAACUUUGGGAAAAUGAGUUUUCAUGGCUAAGAAAAGACUCAGAAAGUGAUACAAAUGCAAAAUCCAUAAUCUGUGGCGAAGUUUUCUCUCUAUUCCAUCAGCUGGAGUUGUACACGAUAGGAAUAUUUACAUAUUGUAUGAUGAAUAUGAUGAUGAUAAAGAAAACGAUGAUUUAAAUAUGAAGAUAUAAUUGGAAUAAUCAUAAAAUGAGAAUAUGCAUAUAAAAAUCUACAUAAUGAGAAUGGCUGAGGGUCAGCAUUGAUCUAUUAAAUCAAGAUCGUUAAAACACUUUAAUAUAAUUACAAAGAAAAGGCCGAUUUAAUAUGGAGACACAAGAAUAUAAGACAUAAAAUGAAAGGAUUGGAAUACCUACAUUAUGAGAAUAUGGAAAGAAAAUACUUACAUUUUAUACACAUAAUACAAGAAUGUAUUGGAAAUAUUGGAAUAUUAAGAGAAUGGCUGUCUAAAGCUCUAUUAAAUCAAGAUGGUUAACACACUUUAAUAAAAUUACAAAGAAAAUGUUGAUUUAAUAUGAAGACACAAGAAUAUCAGAAUUAAAAUAUAAUAAUUUGAAUACAUUAUGAGAACAUGGAAAGAAACUUACAUUUUAUAUACAUAUAUUAUGAGAAUGGCUGUCUGAACAGUAUUGUCCUAAUAAAUCAAAAUGUUUAACACACUGUUGUUAUUAUAAUAAAUGAUGAUUUAAAUAUAAAAAUACAAGAAUAUUAUAUAUAAAAUAGAAGAAUUGGAAUAUAUUUUGAUACUAAGAUACCUGCAUUAUAAAUAUAUUAUGAGAAUGGAUGACCGAACAGUAUUGUUCCGAUAAAUGAAGUUGAAUGGUAUGCUGAAGUGCAAGCGGUGCUCACACAAGGAUGUGAUUGGUAUGCCGAAGCACAAGCGGUACUCACUGAAUGAUAAUACACACACUUUAAUAUUGUUAUAAUAAAAGGUGAAUGGUAUGCCGAAGUGCAAGCGGUGCUCACACAGGGUUGUGAAUGGUAUGCCGAAGCACAAGCGGUGCUCACCUAAUGAUAAUUAGUAUAUAGUGGCUGGUAUGCCGAAGUGCAAGCGGUGCUCACACUGGGUUGUGAAUGGUAUGCCGAAGCACAAGCGGUACCCACUAUACUAUUUAUCUGAUAAAGAAUUCUGAGGAACAAUGAACAUACAGUGUAGCCGACCAAAAAUUCACCUAGCAACGUUGCAGCGUAGCAGACCAGCGUCAGACCAGCAUUAAGUACAUCAAUAAGAACAGCCGGAAUAUGGUUUACUAAUUACUUAUAGUCUCUUUGAGUUUUGUUUUAAUUAUGAUUGCUAAGUGCAUUUAAUAUCACCGCAUAGAUAUAAUAACUUUAUUAAUUUUGCUAAUUCAUUCAGUUUGUUAACAUAAAUUUAGAACUUGUUAGUUAGCGUUCGAAUGGCCGACAGGGAAUGGGGACAUUCCCAAUAACAGGACGGCCGACUGUUAGCGUUUAAAUUUACCAAUGCUAUUCUUUACUAAUAUCAAGCUACUUAUUUCAUCAUAGGUCCGGCCGGAUUACUAGAUGUAGCUAGGAGUUGUUCUUUAGUUCAUUUAGUUUCUAUAUUGUCUGUGAUUCGCAUUGACUGGCCGGUCACGGGAUUCAUGCGGAUUCAUUCAAUUCAAGAUGGCAGAAAAAACAAGAAUAACUUUUAAAAGACUUCUGUUUGUUAUUAGAUUCCUUUUUGAAUAGUUUGUGUUCCUUAUAAAAGUAUUUUACUUCAAA